UGGGGAAUUUUGGACAAUGGGCGCAAGCCUGAUCCAGCCAUUCCGCGUGCAGGACGAAGGCCUUCGGGUUGUAAACUGCUUUUGUACGGAACGAAAAGGCUCUGGCUAAUACCUGGGGCUCAUGACGGUACCGUAAGAAUAAGCACCGGCUAACUACGUACGAGCACCCGCGGUAAUACGUAGGGUGCAAGCGUUAAUCGGAAUUACUGGGCGUAAAGCGUGCGCAGGCGGUUAUGUAAGACAGAGGUGAAAUCCCCGGGCUCAACCUGGGAACGGCCUUUGGGACUGCAUAGCUGGAGUUCGGCAGAGUGGGAUGGAAGUCCGCGUGUAGCAGUGAAAUGCGUAGAUAUGCGGAGGAACACCGAUGGCGAAGGCAAUCCCCUGGGCCUGUACUGACGCUCAUGCACGAAAGCGUG
RNAcentral lists this ribosomal RNA (416 nucleotides) under uncultured bacterium. RNAcentral's name for it is "bacterial SSU rRNA". It matches the Rfam family "Bacterial small subunit ribosomal RNA", at positions 355 to 763 of the family's 1533-position model. The record is from RNAcentral.